RNAcentral lists this ribosomal RNA (1230 nucleotides) under uncultured organism. RNAcentral describes it as "bacterial SSU rRNA". It matches the Rfam family "Bacterial small subunit ribosomal RNA", at positions 125 to 1357 of the family's 1533-position model. The record is from RNAcentral.
CCUACCUUCAACUGGGGGAUAGCCCGAAGAAAUUCGGAUUAAUACCCCAUAAUAAUAGAAAUUCGCAUGUUUUUCUAUUUAAAACUCCGGUGGUUGAAGAUGGGCAUGCGUCCUAUUAGUUAGUUGGUGAGGUAACGGCUCACCAAGACUCCGAUAGGUAGGGGUUCUGAGAGGAAGAUCCCCCACACUGGUACUGAGACACGGACCAGACUCCUACGGGAGGCAGCAGUGAGGAAUAUUGGACAAUGGACGAAAGUCUGAUCCAGCCAUGCCGCGUGUAGGAAGACCGCCCUCUGGGUUGUAAACUACUUUUAUAAGGGAAUAAACCCCCGUACGUGUACGGGGCUGAAUGUACCUUAAGAAUAAGCACCGGCUAACUCCGUGCCAGCAGCCGCGGUAAUACGGAGGGUGCAAGCGUUAUCCGGAUUUAUUGGGUUUAAAGGGUCCGUAGGUGGAAUUGUAAGUCAGUGGUGAAAUCUUUCGGCUUAACCGGAAAACUGCCAUUGAUACUGCAGUUCUUGAGUAUGCUCGAGGUAGGCGGAAUAUGUCAUGUAGCGGUGAAAUGCAUAGAUAUGACAUAGAACACCAAUAGCGAAGGCAGCUUACCAGAUCAUAACUGACACUGAGGGACGUAAGCGUGGGGAGCGAACAGGAUUAGAUACCCUGGUAGUCCACGCCGUAAACGAUGAUCACUAGACAUUGGCGACAUACUGUCGGUGUCAAAGCGAAAGUAUUAAGUGAUCCACCUAGGGAGUACGCCGGCAACGGUGAUAACUCAAAGGAAUUGACGGGGGCCCGCACAAGCGGUGGAGCAUGUGGUUUAAUUCGAUGAUACGCGAGGAACACUUACCUGGGCUUAAAUGCAGAACGACCGAUCCGGAAACGGAUCUUUCUUCGGACGGACUGCAAGGUGCUGCAUGGUUGUCGUCAGCUCGUGCCGUGAGGUGUCGGGUUAAGUCCCAUAACGAGCGCAACCCCUAUCGUUAGUUGCCAGCGGAUAAUGCCGGGGACUCUAACGAAACUGCCCGUGCAAGCGGAGAGGAAGGUGGGGAUGACGUCAAAUCAUCACGGCCAUUACGUCCAGGGCUACACACGUGCUACAAUGGCGCAUACAAAGGGCAGCUACCACGCGAGUGGAUGCUAAUCUCUAAAGUGCGUCUCAGUUCGGAUUGAAGUCUGCAACUCGACUUCAUGAAGCUGGAAUCGCUAGUAAUCGCGCAUCAGCCAUGG